Molecule: non-coding RNA, 169 nt
Filed under: Alicyclobacillus acidoterrestris
Lineage: Bacteria; Bacillati; Bacillota; Bacilli; Caryophanales; Alicyclobacillaceae
Also listed under: 1 other name
Description: FMN sequence
Rfam family: FMN riboswitch aptamer (RFN element)
About the family: The RFN element is a highly conserved domain that is found frequently in the 5'-untranslated regions of prokaryotic mRNAs that encode for flavin mononucleotide (FMN) biosynthesis and transport proteins. This element is a metabolite-dependent riboswitch that directly binds FMN in the absence of proteins.
Source: RNAcentral
AUGAACCUUCGGGGCAGGGUGAAAUUCCCGACCGGCGGUGAAACUGCAUGUUCUGUUCAGAUGGGACACGAUUUGCGGUUGAGCCCGCGACUCCGCGCAUCGGCUUUGCGUGGACUGACUUGGUGAAAAUCCAAGGCCGACGGUAUAGUCCGGAUGGGAGAAGGUAAAC